Long non-coding RNA from Stegostoma tigrinum, 1186 nucleotides. RefSeq lists it as uncharacterized. Lineage: Eukaryota; Metazoa; Chordata; Chondrichthyes; Orectolobiformes; Stegostomatidae. The transcript is spliced from 4 exons. The record is from RefSeq and is a predicted model, not a curated record.
AGCAAGUUGUCGCCCUGACGUGCAGAAGGCGCGUUGCAUUUGGAAAUUGUUGAAAAGUCGCUUUCGUUUGGAGUAGCGUUUUGAAAAUGCCCACAUCUCUUCCACGUUGUCACCUUUGCCGCAAUUAACGUAAAACAUUGCUGCAGUCCACCAGAACUUCCUUUUUUGAAAAAAAAGAUACCGCACCGAGUAAAUAUACGCUUUGGGUUACUUCAGAGACAGGUGGGAAUCAGUGAACCAGGUCUCCUGGCAUAUCGAACUGCUAACAGUCCGAAACUCUGAGACAACGGAAAUGUGGCUCAUUAUUGACAUAAAUGUUUGAACUGGCUGGACAUCAGUUUUCUGGAUUUGCUCAUUUUCAUGAUCAGUCUUGCAAAACCUGAGUUAGAUGGAGCAAUCACUCAAGAAACUUAACCUCAGUUUUUACAAACAGUUCAACCUGCAAUCUUCAGCAUCAUGUAAGCAGAUGAUCAAAGGAGCUAAGAAUAAAGGCCAAAAUCUUCUGAAACAUUUCCCAAACGACCCCCCAGCAGUGAUUUUAGAAGGGGAAGAUUUACAAAUCAAACAUCACACUUGGAUUUGAUAGAGUCAUCCAAUUUAUCCCAAAUGGAAUGUCAUCGGAUUUUGAAUGUGGAAGGAAUGUGAAAGAUGGUGGUGGAGUAGGAUGCUUCAGCCAGAGUUCGUCCAUUCCAAUCAUUUUUUUUUUUAAAUCUUGUUUCUUCUUGGCACUGUCCUGAAUGCCUGGCCUCACUGCAGACUCAGACCCUUGGCCUCAGCACUGACCCAGCAUGGCAUCCUCUCAGCCCAGUGUGGCUUUUUCUUGGCCCAGCAUGGAAGUCUCUCGGCCCAAUGUGCUGAUCUCCUGGCCUGGCAUGGCCAGGGCAUCGACUUCAGCCUCGAGGCAAGGAUGCCCAAAGGCCGAGUAUAUUGGUGAGACCAUGCAGACAAAGCGACAAUGGAUGUAUGGACACCGUGCAACAAUUACCAAACAAGAAUGUUCCUUCCCAGUCGGUGAACACUUCAGUGGUCAAGGACAUUCAGCUUCCUAUCUUCAGGUAAGCUUCCUCUAAAGCAGACUCCGAGAUGCACAACAACACAGAGUCUCUGAGCAGAGACUGAUAUCCAAGUUCCAUACCUGUGAAGGUGGCUUCAACUGUGAUCUUGGGUUCAUGUCCACUACAUGUGA